This 304-nucleotide long non-coding RNA is filed under the name Phoenix dactylifera (date palm). Its description in RNAcentral is "long non-coding RNA (PDAC_LNC014573)". Lineage: Eukaryota; Viridiplantae; Streptophyta; Magnoliopsida; Arecales; Arecaceae. The record is from RNAcentral.
AUCUCUAGAAAAUUAAAAAUUUCUGCAAGUGAUAUUGUUUUAAAAAAAUCAUCUUUAUAUAGUUUUAUAAUUACACCACAAAGGGGAAAAAUUAAUAUUAUAGACAACUUAAUGUUUAAAGCAAUUAUAAAGAGUGAAUGGUAUCAAACAAUAUAAAAUCAUUCUUCACUCAAUGAUUUUUGAAGAACAUUAAUUUAGAUGUUAUUCAUGCUUACUCUUGUAUCUGAUUUUUGCAAAAAUAAUUUAUUUUAAAAGAUGUUAUCAUUGAUUAUAUCCUUUUCUUUUGAAACUCAAGGGUUUUGUC